GUUGUAUGGUUAAGUGACUAAGCGUACACGGUGGAUGCCUUGGCAGUCAGAGGCGAUGAAGGACGUAGUAACUUGCGAUAAGCGUAGAUGAGGCAGUAACAGCCACUUGAGUCUACGAUUUCCGAAUGGGGAAACCCACUGGCAUAAGCCAGUAUCAUUGAGUGAAUACAUAGCUCAAUGAAGCGAACCGGGAGAACUGAAACAUCUAAGUACCCCGAGGAAAAGAAAUCAACCGAGAUUCCGAAAGUAGCGGCGAGCGAAAUUGGAUUAGCCCUUAAGCUUUACAUGUGUUAGACGAACGGUCUGGAAAGUCCGACGAUACAGGGUGAUAGUCCCGUAGUUGACGAUGCAUGUUCAGUGAAAUCGAGUAGGGCGGGACACGUGUUAUCCUGUCUGAAUAUGGGGGGACCAUCCUCCAAGGCUAAAUACUCCUGACUGACCGAUAGUGAACCAGUACCGUGAGGGAAAGGCGAAAAGAACCCCUGUGAGGGGAGUGAAAUAGAACCUGAAACCGUGUACGUACAAGCAGUAGGAGCACCUUCGUGGUGUGACUGCGUACCUUUUGUAUAAUGGGUCAGCGACUUAUAUUCAGUGGCAAGGUUAACCAUCUAGGGGAGCCGUAGGGAAACCGAGUCUUAACUGGGCGCCAUAGUCUCUGGAUAUAGACCCGAAACCGAGUGAUCUAGCCAUGGGCAGGUUGAAGGUUGAGUAACAUCAACUGGAGGACCGAACCGACUAAUGUUGAAAAAUUAGCGGAUGACUUGUGGCUAGGGGUGAAAGGCCAAUCAAACUCGGAGAUAGCUGGUUCUCCCCGAAAGCUAUUUAGGUAGCGCCUCGGACGAAUACUACUGGGGGUAGAGCACUGUUAAGGCUAGGGGGUCAUCCCGACUUACCAACCCUUUGCAAACUCCGAAUACCAGUAAGUACUAUCCGGGAGACACACGGCGGGUGCUAACGUCCGUCGUGGAGAGGGAAACAACCCAGACCGCCAGCUAAGGUCCCAAAUUACAGCUAAGUGGGAAACGAUGUGGGAAGGCUUAGACAGCUAGGAUGUUGGCUUAGAAGCAGCCAUCAUUUAAAGAAAGCGUAAUAGCUCACUAGUCGAGUCGGCCUGCGCGGAAGAUGUAACGGGGCUAAGUUGUAAACCGAAGCUGCGGCAAUGUUCUUUGAACAUUGGGUAGGGGAGCGUUCUGUAAGCCGUUGAAGGUGUGUUGUAAAGCAUGCUGGAGGUAUCAGAAGUGCGAAUGCUGACAUGAGUAACGACAAGGGGGGUGAAAAACCUCCCCGCCGGAAGACCAAGGGUUCCUGUCCAACGUUAAUCGGGGCAGGGUAAGUCGACCCCUAAGGCGAGGCCGAAA
Molecule: ribosomal RNA, 1358 nt
Filed under: Vibrio vulnificus
Lineage: Bacteria; Pseudomonadati; Pseudomonadota; Gammaproteobacteria; Vibrionales; Vibrionaceae
Description: partial 23S ribosomal RNA
Rfam family: Bacterial large subunit ribosomal RNA
Source: RNAcentral